GCCCUCGUGGCCCAACUGGCAGAGGCAGGCCACUUAAAAUGGCUUCAGUGCGGGUUCGAAUCCCGUCGAGGGCAC
This 75-nucleotide transfer RNA is filed under the name Austwickia sp. TVS 96-490-7B. Its description in RNAcentral is "tRNA-Leu". It matches the Rfam family "tRNA". From Rfam's summary of the family: Transfer RNA (tRNA) molecules are approximately 80 nucleotides in length. Their secondary structure includes four short double-helical elements and three loops (D, anti-codon, and T loops). Further hydrogen bonds mediate the characteristic L-shaped molecular structure. tRNAs have two regions of fundamental functional importance: the anti-codon, which is responsible for specific mRNA codon recognition, and the 3' end, to which the tRNAs corresponding amino acid is attached (by aminoacyl-tRNA synthetases). tRNAs cope with the degeneracy of the genetic code in two manners: having more than one tRNA (with a specific anti-codon) for a particular amino acid; and 'wobble' base-pairing, i.e. permitting non-standard base-pairing at the 3rd anti-codon position. The record is from RNAcentral. Lineage: Bacteria; Bacillati; Actinomycetota; Actinomycetes; Micrococcales; Dermatophilaceae.